AUUGAACGCUGGCGGCAGGCCUAACACAUGCAAGUCGAACGAGUGGCGGACGGGUGAGUAAUGUCUGGGAAACUGCCUGAUGGAGGGGGAUCACUACUGGAAACGGUAGCUAAUACCGCAUACCAUCGGAUGUGCCCAGAUGGGAUUAGCUAGUAGGUGGGGUAAAGGCUCACAUAGGCGACGAUCCCUAGCUGGUCUGAGAGGAUGACCGGCCACACUGGAACUGAGACACGGUCCAGACUCCUACGGGAGGCAGCAUUGGGGAAUAUUGCACAUUGGGCGCAAGCCUGAGGCAGCCAUGCCGCGUGUAUGAAGAAGGCCUUCGGUUUGUAAAGUACUUUCAGCGGGGAGGCGUUACCCGCAGAAGAAGCACCGGCUAACUCCGUGCCAGCAGCCGCGGUAAUUC
RNAcentral lists this ribosomal RNA (406 nucleotides) under uncultured bacterium. RNAcentral describes it as "partial 16S ribosomal RNA". It matches the Rfam family "Bacterial small subunit ribosomal RNA", at positions 30 to 526 of the family's 1533-position model. The record is from RNAcentral.